This 484-nucleotide ribosomal RNA is filed under the name uncultured bacterium. Its description in RNAcentral is "partial 16S ribosomal RNA". It matches the Rfam family "Bacterial small subunit ribosomal RNA", at positions 29 to 507 of the family's 1533-position model. The record is from RNAcentral.
AUUGAACGCUGGCGGCAUGCUUUACACAUGCAAGUCGAACGGCAGCGCGGGCUUCGGCCUGGCGGCGAGUGGCGAACGGGUGAGUAAUACAUCGGAACCUGCCCGGUAGUGGGGGAUAGCUUGGGGAAAGCCGGAUUAAUACCGCAUACGACCUGAGGGUGAAAGCGGGGGAUCUUCGGACCUCGCGCUAUUGGAGCGGCCGAUGGCGGAUUAGCUAGUUGGUGGGGUAAAGGCCUACCAAGGCGACGAUCUGUAGCUGGUCUGAGAGGACGACCAGCCACACUGGGACUGAGACACGGCCCAGACUCCUACGGGAGGCAGCAGUGGGGAAUUUUGGACAAUGGGCGAAAGCCUGAUCCAGCAAUGCCGCGUGUGUGAUGAAGGUCUUCGGGUUGUAAAGCACUUUUGGCGGGAACGAAAAGGACUGUGCCAAUACCACGGUUCGAUGACGGUACCCGCAGAAUAAGCACCGGCUAACUACGUG